UGAGGAAUAUUGGACAAUGGGUUAGCGCCUGAUCCAGCCAUCCCGCGUGAAGGACGACGGUUCUAUGGAUUGUAAACUUCUUUUAUAUAGGGAUAAACCUACUCUCGUGAGAGUAGCUGAAGGUACUAUAG
Molecule: ribosomal RNA, 131 nt
Filed under: uncultured bacterium
Lineage: Bacteria
Description: partial 16S ribosomal RNA
Rfam family: Bacterial small subunit ribosomal RNA
Source: RNAcentral